UAGCUUUGUCCCAAGUCAAUUUUAUCUAACUUUGACCAAAUUUAUGGAAAAAACAUAUUAACAUCUACAGUAUCAAUAAAUGAACAACCAAUAUGUAUUACAUGUUGUAGUUAAUGAAAAUAGUUUGAUGGUGUAGAUCUUUGUGCAUUUUUCUAUAAACUUGGUCAAAGCUAAAGAAGUUUGACUUAGGACAAAAUUAG
This 200-nucleotide microRNA precursor is filed under the name Setaria italica (foxtail millet). RNAcentral's name for it is "MIR1435 microRNA precursor family". It matches the Rfam family "MIR1435 microRNA precursor family". RNAcentral also lists the same sequence under 1 other name. The record is from Rfam by way of RNAcentral. Lineage: Eukaryota; Viridiplantae; Streptophyta; Magnoliopsida; Poales; Poaceae.